CCAAUAGCGUAUAUUAAAGUUGUUGCAGUUAAAAAGCUCGUAGUUGAAUUUCGGGAUUGACACAUCGGUCGUGCCUUAAGGGGUAUGAACUGGUGUAGUCAAUUUCUCACCUUCUGGAGAACCACGAUGCCCUUAAUUGGGUGUCGCGGGGAACCAGGACCUUUACUUUGAAAAAAUUAGAGUGUUUAAAGCAGGCAUUU
RNAcentral lists this ribosomal RNA (200 nucleotides) under uncultured Glomus. Its description in RNAcentral is "partial small subunit ribosomal RNA". It matches the Rfam family "Eukaryotic small subunit ribosomal RNA", at positions 591 to 789 of the family's 1831-position model. The record is from RNAcentral. Lineage: Eukaryota; Fungi; Glomeromycota; Glomeromycetes; Glomerales; Glomeraceae.